GGGAGCGAACAGGAUUAGAUACCCUGGUAGUCCACGCCGUAAACGAUGAGUGCUAAGUGUUGGAGGGUUUCCGCCCUUCAGUGCUGCAGCAAACGCAUUAAGCACUCCGCCUGGGGAGUACGACCGCAAGGUUGAAACUCAAAGGAAUUGACGGGGGCCCGCACAAGCGGUGGAGCAUGUGGUUUAAUUCGAAGCAACGCGAAGAACCUUACCAGGUCUUGACAUCCUUUGACCACUCUAGAGAUAGAGCUUCCCCUUCGGGGGCAAAGUGACAGGUGGUGCAUGGUUGUCGUCAGCUCGUGUCGUGAGAUGUUGGGUUAAGUCCCGCAACGAGCGCAACCCUUAUUGUUAGUUGCCAUCAUUUAGUUGGGCACUCUAGCGAGACUGCCGGUGACAAACCGGAGGAAGGUGGGGAUGACGUCAAAUCAUCAUGCCCCUUAUGACCUGGGCUACACACGUGCUACAAUGGGAAGUACAACGAGUUGCGAAGUCGCGAGGCUAAGCUAAUCUCUUAAAGCUUCUCUCAGUUCGGAUUGUAGGCUGCAACUCGCCUACAUGAAGCCGGAAUCGCUAGUAAUCGCGGAUCAGCACGCCGCGGUGAAUAAGUUCCCGGGCCUUGCACACAC
RNAcentral lists this ribosomal RNA (626 nucleotides) under uncultured bacterium. Its description in RNAcentral is "bacterial SSU rRNA". It matches the Rfam family "Bacterial small subunit ribosomal RNA", at positions 764 to 1390 of the family's 1533-position model. The record is from RNAcentral.